CGCGGCCUAUCAGCUUGUUGGUGAGGUAAUGGCUCACCAAGGCGACGACGGGUAGCCGGCCUGAGAGGGCGACCGGCCACACUGGGACUGAGACACGGCCCAGACUCCUACGGGAGGCAGCAGUGGGGAAUAUUGCACAAUGGGCGAAAGCCUGACGCAGCAAUGCCGCGUGCGGGACGAAGGCCCUAGAGUCGUAAACCGCUUUCAGUAGGGACGAAAAUGACGGUACCUGCAGAAGAAGCUCCGGCCAACUACGUGCCAGCAGCCGCGGUGAUACGUAGGGAGCAAGCGUUGUCCGGAAUUACUGGGCGUAAAGGGCUCGUAGGUGGUUGAGUAAGUCAGAUGUGAAAUCUCAGGGCCCAACCCUGAGCGUGCAUUUGAUACUGCUCUGACUAGAGUCCGGUAGGGGAGUGCGGAAUUCCUGGUGUAGCGGUGAAAUGCGCAGAUAUCAGGAGGAACACCGACAGCGAAGGCAGCACUCUGGGCCGGUACUGACACUGAGGAGCGAAAGCAUGGGUAGCAAACAGGAUUAGAUACCCUGGUAGUCCAUGCCGUAAACGUUGGGCACUAGGUGUGGGGAGAACUCAACUCUCUCCGCGCCGUAGCUAACGCAUUAAGUGCCCCGCCUGGGGAGUACGGA
This 640-nucleotide ribosomal RNA is filed under the name uncultured Actinomycetes bacterium. RNAcentral describes it as "bacterial SSU rRNA". It matches the Rfam family "Bacterial small subunit ribosomal RNA", at positions 232 to 886 of the family's 1533-position model. The record is from RNAcentral. Lineage: Bacteria; Bacillati; Actinomycetota; Actinomycetes.